This 513-nucleotide ribosomal RNA is filed under the name uncultured bacterium. Its description in RNAcentral is "partial 16S ribosomal RNA". It matches the Rfam family "Bacterial small subunit ribosomal RNA", at positions 28 to 523 of the family's 1533-position model. The record is from RNAcentral.
GAUGAACGCUGGCGGCGUGCCUAAUACAUGCAAGUCGAGCGAACAGAUGAGAAGCUUGCUUCUCUGAUGUUAGCGGCGGACGGGUGAGUAACACGUGGGUAACCUACCUAUAAGGCUAGGAUAACUCCGGGAAACCGGGGCUAAUACCGGAUAAUAUUUUGAACCGCAUGGUUCAAUAGUGAAAGACGGUUUCGGCUGUCACUUAUAGAUGGACCCGCGCCGUAUUAGCUAGUUGGUAAGGUAACGGCUUACCAAGGCGACGAUACGUAGCCGACCUGAGAGGGUGAUCGGCACACUGGAACUGAGACACGGUCCAGACUCCUACGGGAGGCAGCAGUAGGGAAUCUUCCGCAAUGGGCGAAAGCCUGACGGAGCAACGCCGCGUGAGUGAUGAAGGUCUUCGGAUUGUAAAACUCUGUUGUUAGGGAAGAACAAAUUUGUUAGUAACUGAACAAGUCUUGACGGUACCUAACCAGAAAGCCACGGCUAACUACGUGCCAGCAGCCGCGGUAA